RNAcentral lists this ribosomal RNA (462 nucleotides) under uncultured bacterium. RNAcentral describes it as "partial 16S ribosomal RNA". It matches the Rfam family "Bacterial small subunit ribosomal RNA", at positions 29 to 506 of the family's 1533-position model. The record is from RNAcentral.
AGCGAACGCUGGCGGCAGGCUUAACACAUGCAAGUCGAGCGGGCAUCCUUGUGGUGUCAGCGGCAGACGGGUGAGUAACGCGUGGGAACGUGCCCUUCGGUUCGGAAUAACUCAGGGAAACUUGAGCUAAUACCGGAUACGUGCGAGAGCAGAAAGGUUUAUCUGCCGAAGGAUCGGCCAGCGUCUGAUUAGCUAGUUGGUGAGGUUAUGGCUCACCAAGGCGACGAUCAGUAGCUGGUCUGAGAGGGUGAUCAGCCACACUGGGACUGAGACACGGUCCAGCCCACUAGGAGAGGGACAAGGAGCGAAUCUCCACCGGAGGGAGGAAGGGGGAAGGAUCGACGAUGGGGGCAACCCUGAUCCAGCCAUGCCGCGUGAGUGAUGACGGCCUUAGGGUUGUAAAGCUCUUUUAUUCGGGACGAUAAUGACGGUACCGGAGGAAUAAGCCCCGGCUAACUUCGU